This 72-nucleotide transfer RNA is filed under the name Sphaerodactylus townsendi. Its description in RNAcentral is "tRNA-Ser". The record is from RNAcentral. Lineage: Eukaryota; Metazoa; Chordata; Lepidosauria; Squamata; Sphaerodactylidae.
GGGGCUGUGAUUCAGUGGAAGAGCCUCUGCUUUGAAUGCAUAUGGUCCAAGGCUCGAUCCUCAGCAGCUCCA